GACGAACGCUGGCGGCGUGCUUAACACAUGCAAGUCGAACGGAAAGGCCCUGCUUUUGUGGGGUGCUCGAGUGGCGAACGGGUGAGUAACACGUGAGUAACCUGCCCUUGACUUUGGGAUAACUUCAGGAAACUGGGGCUAAUACCGGAUAGGAGCUCCUGCUGCAUGGUGGGGGUUGGAAAGUUUCGGCGGUUGGGGAUGGACUCGCGGCUUAUCAGCUUGUUGGUGGGGUAGUGGCUUACCAAGGCUUUGACGGGUAGCCGGCCUGAGAGGGUGACCGGCCACAUUGGGAAUGAGAUACGGCCCAGACUCCUACGGGAGGCAGCAGGGGGGAAUAUUGCACAAGGGGCGGAAGCCGGAUGAAGCAACGCCGCGUGCGGGAGGACGGCCUUCGGGUGGUAAACCGCUUUCGCCGGUGACGAAGCGGGAGUGACGGUAAUGGGUAAAGAAGCACCGGCUAACUACGU
This 467-nucleotide ribosomal RNA is filed under the name uncultured bacterium. Its description in RNAcentral is "partial 16S ribosomal RNA". It matches the Rfam family "Bacterial small subunit ribosomal RNA", at positions 28 to 506 of the family's 1533-position model. The record is from RNAcentral.